AUUGAACGCUGGCGGCAGGCUUAACACAUGCAAGUCGAGCGAGCGGCGGACGGGUGAGUAAUGUCUGGGAAACUGCCUGAUGGAGGGGGAUAACUACUGGAAACGGUAGCAAAUACCGCAUACCAUCAGAUGUGCCUAGAUGGGAUGAGCUAGUAGGUGGGGAAAUGGCUCACCUAGGCGACGAUCCCUACCUGGUCUGAGAGGAUGACCAGCAACCAGGGAACUGAUACACGGCCCACACUCCUACGGGAGGCAGCAGUGGGGAAGAUUGCACAACAGUCGCAAGAAGGAUGAAGCCAUGCUGCGUGUUGGAAGAAGACCGUAGGGGGGUAGAAGACCUUCAUCGGGGAGGCGUUAUUAACCGCAGAAGCAGCGGCUAACUCCGGGGCAGCAGCCGCGGUAAUAC
This 406-nucleotide ribosomal RNA is filed under the name uncultured bacterium. Its description in RNAcentral is "partial 16S ribosomal RNA". It matches the Rfam family "Bacterial small subunit ribosomal RNA", at positions 29 to 526 of the family's 1533-position model. The record is from RNAcentral.